RNAcentral lists this long non-coding RNA (1568 nucleotides) under Apis dorsata (giant honeybee). Its description in RNAcentral is "uncharacterized LOC116186098". The record is from RNAcentral. Lineage: Eukaryota; Metazoa; Arthropoda; Insecta; Hymenoptera; Apidae.
AAUCUAAUUAAUCUUAAUCAAGAAUUCAAUUCGUAAAAGUAAACUAUUGCUUAGAAAUUAACACUUCAUUCAAUAAAUGAUCUGAAUGAGAGAGUAUCAAGGAGUACGUCGUAAAGAUUUAUGGUUCGUGAAACAACGUGAAGACAAGAAACGUUGGAAUCCAUCUUGGAAACUACUGGAUGAACGGAAGAAUGCUUGCACAUUGUCGACAGACACCAGGAACGAGAAUCUGAACAAGAUUAGGCUAGUUUCCAAGUCAGCCGAGAGGACAGCCGUGCCACGCGACACUUUGCCGGCGACCAGUCCCUAAUGAUCGUUCGCAUUUGUCGAAUUUAAUUCCGGAUAUUCGAUUCCUAAAUGCCUCGGGGCGAGACGAAAGCCAGCUGCCGGUGGAAUCGAUUCGAACAUAUCCCUGCUGGAGUUCAAGAGGUUGGAUAGUUAUCGGAAACGUGGCUAAAAACGAUAGACUAUAUGGAAGAUGGGAAUGAAAUACUAUCUUGACCCUAUUUACCGGCCUAUAGAUUCUUUGCUUAUGAGUCGGUUGUUUAAACUGAUAUCUGAUAACAUAGUUUUUUUGAUUGCAAUCAAAUAUAAUAUCCACCAGUAUUACUCGAUAAUAUUUGAUCACUUAUCACAUAUAGAUAAAUGUGGGUCGGUCAAUUAAUUAAAUUGGAUUUUUCUUUUUUAUUUCUUAAAAAAUAUGAUAUAAAUGAAUAAAAAAAAAUGUUACAAUUGAUGUAACUUACAUUCUGCUGUUACUUUUUGAUAUUUUGGAAAAAUAAUUAACAAAAGCAAUGUAUAAUGAAUAGUAGAGAUUGAGAAGAAAAUAGUUAAAGGAAUGCUGGAAAUGCUCGCGCGCUCGUGUAUGCCUUGCGACAUUAAUCCAUUUUCAGAUAAGUAUGCUCUCUGGUCGCUUAAACCUGACAAACUGUUUUCUCUGUGCUCAAAACGAUAAGAUCUUUUACGAAUUAUGCACAAUUAUGUCACGAUCGUGGAAUUAGAAAUUUUCUAAACUUUAAAUGUUAUUUUCCGACGGCAAAAUUUUUAUGUAAGUAUAAAAACGUCUAAUCAAUAGAAAUUGCGCAUGGAUGAACAAUGCAUUUUAUGUUUAAUAGCGUUGUUAAAAAUUAUGAUUAUGAAUUGGAAAAUGGUUUGGAAGUUUUGAAACUAGAAGAGAAUCUUUAUAGUUCAAUGGGUUAGAACAAAGAGAUUGAUUAUGAGAUAUCAAUGGUAUCUAUGAUAGUUUCAAGAAAUAUUUUAAAAAUAUAUAAUUUUACAGAUCACAGUAUUUGGACGCUUUUCUGACAUUUCUAUCCAAAUUAUCAUUGCAAAUGCAGCUCUUACAAACAUAAUUACUACAAUUAUAGAAAAUCAUAUAGGACAACACUAUAAGAAAAAUGAAAUUAUGAAAUCUCGUAAUGGAAUAAGUAAUAACACAUCACAUAUUUUCAAUUUUGAAUAUCAUUUCACAUUAACCCAUAUAUGUUUCACAUGUGUACAAGUUGAUUCAACACCCAAAAAAUUUCUUCCUUUUCGUUUUAUAGAAACUGACUCGAUCAUUAACCAAA